This is a non-coding RNA of Caenorhabditis elegans, 201 nucleotides long. The record is from Ensembl. Lineage: Eukaryota; Metazoa; Nematoda; Chromadorea; Rhabditida; Rhabditidae.
GUUUUUACGAAAGAGCACACAACGUCUUCAGCGGGGGAGCACAUUUUGCCUUCCGGUGCCUAACCCGAUUAUCGUUAUGAAGAUGAUGUCGUCUUUCGGCGACGUUUGACAAACAAGACUUCUUCGGAUCGGGGGAAGGAGGUGAAUUCCUUCUUUUUUUGAGAUUCCUGCCACUGAUUCCAUUGAAUAUUUGCUCGGGGC